Hippocampus comes (tiger tail seahorse) is the source of this 1297-nucleotide long non-coding RNA. RefSeq lists it as uncharacterized. Lineage: Eukaryota; Metazoa; Chordata; Actinopteri; Syngnathiformes; Syngnathidae. The record is from RefSeq and is a predicted model, not a curated record. The transcript has 3 exons.
UGAGGUCGGGCGAUGAUAGCUUUUCUCAACAGAAAAAAAUGAGGAAUCCGAUGCAGGAUGUAAACAAUGAAUCGAUGAUUUAAUUUGUCUCUUGAUAGUACAACAAAAUGAGUGGGCAAAGGAAACAAUAAAUGGCAAAAAACACACAGAAAAUAGACCUGAGAUGGCUAGUUAGACAGAACUGAACAGUUUGAAAACUGCUCUACCUGUGCCACACCCCCUUAUCCACCUUUUCCCCAUUUUCCCAGGCUGCCCAUAGCCACUCCCAAAUCAAAGAGCAAAACCUGUCAAUCAACCAUAUUCAAUCAAUCAGUUCAACCAAAAUAACAAUGGUCAUUGUAAGUAAGAGUUAUUAUUGUCAUUAAAUCAUAAAAAAAUCUCAUUACGUGCUCCUACACAUGUAACCUGAUAACAUGAUAAACUGUCCACUGUCGUAACCGCUGUCCCUGAAAGGGUUGAUAUUAAUUUAUUCCAGAUUUCCCUCAUCAACAUGUGUUGGAAUUGGACAAAUGCUGGCUACAGUGGUGGUUCUAAGGGUUGGCAAAAUGUUGGGCGUCAUUUCCUUUCCAGAUAUGGACUCAGGUAUCCCACGUAAGAUCUUUCCACUGCCUCUACUCCAUGCUGGGAAUCAGAUAUCCGGACUGUUUGGGACUCAGCGACUUAAGUUUGUUUCUAAGAAUUAGACUCUGUUUCCACCAAGCUGUACAGUUUUGUUCUGUUGAAACAGGGUCAGGGUUGAAAAAAGUAGUCUGUCUAAUUUGACAAAGUAACAAGUACAAGUUUUGUAUUCAGAUAUAUAGAGUAAAAAGUCAUCAGGAAACUAAAUAGUAGGGAUGGGCGAGCACCGAUACUAUGUAUCGGUAUCGGGCCGAUACCAGCCUUUUUUUUUUUAGGUAUCGGGUAUCGUGGAGUAUCUCGAUACCAGCUCCCGGAAAUUAAAGGUAAAAUAAAUAAAUAAAUAAACAAUCGGACAUCAAGGAAGUUUGACACAUCGGCGAACUAUCAUUUGCAUCAAAAAGGUCACUUUUUUUGCCAUUGUGUUUAAUGCAAUUUUAUGUUCAAAUGUACUCGAGAGCUUGUUGUUAGUACAUUCAUAUUUGGAUUAAGGAAAGAAUUAAAAUAAUUUAUACAAGUUGCUCAAAAUAAGGCAGCAAGAAUUGUUUUGGGUUGCCCAUGUCGAACAAAUGUUACAAAAAUUUAGACUUAGAUAAUGUUAAGAACAUUUCUUAGGAAUAUUAUUUUACCUGGAAUAUGUAUGACACUUGGCGGUUUUGCUAACACUCUUCUUCUUCCUGCA